Long non-coding RNA from Gallus gallus (chicken), 888 nucleotides. RefSeq lists it as uncharacterized. The record is from RefSeq and is a predicted model, not a curated record. NCBI's taxonomy places the organism in Eukaryota, Metazoa, Chordata, Aves, Galliformes, Phasianidae. The transcript has 2 exons.
GCUGCGCCGCCGCCGCUGACAGUCACCGCGGAGCGACACGCGCUGCCCGGCACCCGCCCGCAGCUGUUACGUGGGCCAACGAGGAAGUGCCGUGCGCAUGCGCGGCCGCCGCCUCUCCCUCUCCUCGCUCCCCGGCGGUGCCGCCCCCUCCCCGGCCUCGCGCCCCCUCCCCUGUCCCGCGGGGGGUGCCGAGCGCCGGGAGGGGGCGGCAGCGCGGGAACGGGCGGCAGCGCGGGAACGGGGCUGUGGGGCGAGGCCUGCUGGGGAAUCGCCACGGCCAUUACGGUCAGAAUUAGCCACGAAUUCGAAUUAGAACUGAAAUCAAAUUUACGUUAAAAAAAAAAAAAAAAACACAACAAAACAAAACAAAGCACCGCAGCGCAAGGGGGGCACUUUGGUGGAAGCGCACCAGGUCGGCGAGUGGCGGGUUUGCAACUAUAAAGAAAGAAAUAUCAAAGAGGUAACCAGCGGUGGUUAAAUAAGUAAAUAAGCAGGUGGCUGUCGUCACGGCGGGCGACAUCCGACGCCCCAGGCUGUGGGGUUUUGCAGCCUUUUGGCACUCGCAAGCCCUCGUCCGCCGAGCACUGUGUGAUACAAAGCGUGAGGAUAUCACGUACCGUACAGCAGCCGCAUUACGGAUCAAAGCCAUCCGUGCCAGCAGCUGUUCUCGCCCUCCCCACACACAGGGAUUCUCUCCACAAAAGCCCAGAAUUUCAUGACUCUGACAUCUGAACAGCUGAAAAUGGACAAUGUGAUAUGGAUGUGUUCAGCUCAAUGCUCAGCACCUACUCCUGUACUUCAGCACCCUGCACGUGUCGUUCCAACAGAACUCUCAGAAAUAGUUUAAUAUACCAAUAAAAAGUUGCAGUGCCUGAGGAAGCAUUAAAA